CCUACGGGUGGCAGCAGUGGGGAAUAUUGCACAAUGGGGGAAACCCUGAUGCAGCGACGCCGCGUGAGUGAAGAAGUAUUUCGGUACGUAAAGCUCUAUCAGCAGGGAAGAAAAUGACGGUACCUGACUAACAAUCCACGGCUAACUACGUGCCAGCAGCCGCGGUAAUACGUAGGGGGCAAGCGUUAUCCGGAUUUACUGGGUGUAAAGGUAGCGUAGACGGCAGCGCAAGUCAAGAGUGAAAUCCCAUGGCUUAACCAUGGAACUGCUUUGGAAACUGUGCAGCUAGAGUGCAGGAGAGGUAAGCGGAAUUCCUAGUGUAGGGGUGAAAUGCGUAGAUAUUAGGAGGAACACCAGUGGCGAAGGCGACUAACUGGAAUGUAACUGACGUUGAGGCGCGAAAGCGUGGGGAGCAAACAGGAUUAGAUACCCGAGUAGUC
This 440-nucleotide ribosomal RNA is filed under the name uncultured bacterium. Its description in RNAcentral is "partial 16S ribosomal RNA". It matches the Rfam family "Bacterial small subunit ribosomal RNA", at positions 338 to 795 of the family's 1533-position model. The record is from RNAcentral.